This 197-nucleotide ribosomal RNA is filed under the name uncultured bacterium. RNAcentral describes it as "partial 16S ribosomal RNA". It matches the Rfam family "Bacterial small subunit ribosomal RNA", at positions 335 to 524 of the family's 1533-position model. The record is from RNAcentral.
ACUCCUACGGGAGGCAGCAGUGGGGAAUAUUGCACAAUGGGCGCAAGCCUGAUGCAGCCAUGCCGCGUGUAUGAAGAAGGCCUUCGGGUUGUAAAGUACUUUCAGCGGAGAGGAAGGUGUUGUGGUUAAUAACCGCAGCAAUUGACGUUACCCGCAGAAGAAGCACCGGCUAACUCCGUGCCAGCAGCCGCGGUAAU